This 253-nucleotide ribosomal RNA is filed under the name uncultured bacterium. RNAcentral describes it as "partial 16S ribosomal RNA". It matches the Rfam family "Bacterial small subunit ribosomal RNA", at positions 524 to 776 of the family's 1533-position model. The record is from RNAcentral.
GACGUAGGGUGCGAGCGUUGUCCGGAUUUAUUGGGCGUAAAGCGCGUGUAGGCGGCCAGAUAGGUCUGCUGUGAAAACUCGAGGCUCAACCUCGAGCUGUCGGCGGAAACCAUUUGGCUAGAGUCCGGAAGAGGAGAGUGGAAUUCCCGGUGUAGCGGUGAAAUGCGCAGAUAUCGGGAAGAACACCUGUGGCGAAGGCGGCUCUCUGGGACGGUACUGACGCUGAGACGCGAAAGCGUGGGGAGCGAACAGG